GACGAACGCUGGCGGCGUGCCUAAUACAUGCAAGUAGAACGCUGAAGAGAGGAGCUUGCUCUUCUUGGAUGAGUUGCGAACGGGUGAGUAACGCGUAGGUAACCUGCCUGGUAGCGGGGGAUAACUAUUGGAAACGAUAGCUAAUACCGCAUAAAAUGGAUUAUCGCAUGAUAAUGCAUUGAAAGGUGCAAAUGCAUCACUACCAGAUGGACCUGCGUUGUAUUAGCUAGUUGGUGGGGUAACGGCUCACCAAGGCGACGAUACAUAGCCGACCUGAGAGGGUGAUCGGCCACACUGGGACUGAGACACGGCCCAGACUCCUACGGGAGGCAGCAGUAGGGAAUCUUCGGCAAUGGACGGAAGUCUGACCGAGCAACGCCGCGUGAGUGAAGAAGGUUUUCGGAUCGUAAAGCUCUGUUGUAAGAGAAGAACGAGUGUGAGAGUGGAAAGUUCACACUG
Molecule: ribosomal RNA, 459 nt
Filed under: Streptococcus sp. oral taxon 071
Lineage: Bacteria; Bacillati; Bacillota; Bacilli; Lactobacillales; Streptococcaceae
Description: bacterial SSU rRNA
Rfam family: Bacterial small subunit ribosomal RNA
Source: RNAcentral